Molecule: unclassified non-coding RNA, 417 nt
Filed under: fungal sp.
Lineage: Eukaryota; Fungi
Also listed under: 1 other name
Description: partial internal transcribed spacer region
Rfam family: Eukaryotic small subunit ribosomal RNA (bases 1-46)
Source: RNAcentral
AAGUCGUAACAAGGUCUCCGUAGGUGAACCUGCGGAGGGAUCAUUAACACGUAUCCAAUACGUCCACUCUUCAAACCCCAAACCGUGAACCAAAUAUCCCCACUCGGAUUUAGCGACGAACUGUAAACCUCGGGUGAUAGAUUGAGUCUCGAUCGACAUUAGAGACAACAUCUGUUUACAGUUCUGAGUGUCCAGGCAGACUUUCGGGUCUGUUCUGAGAUGCAGUCGGUCUGUUGUGGUUGUAUUCUUUAGUCACCUGGCUUUUAGGCCAACCCUGUUUCGACCAGGAGCCUCUAAGCCUUAGUACUCCCAAUUUUAACCCCUUUUUGAAAAACUACUGAUUUUAUGCUCUUUUCUCUUUGAGAAAGAACAUAUACGAAACGCGAACAACUCUUAGCAACGGAUAUCUUGGUUCUC